GACGAACGCUGGCGGCGUGCCUAAUACAUGCAAGUCGAACGCUUCUUUCCUCAUGUGUGUUUGCACUCAAUUGGAAAGAGGAGUGGCGGACGGGUGAGUAACACGACGGUAACCUCUCCAUUAGCGGGGGAUAACACUUGGAAAUAGGUGCUAAUAUCGUAUAACAGUUUAUGCCGUAUGGCAUAAGAGUGAAAGGCGCUUUUGGGUGUUGCUGAUGGAUGGAUCCGCGGUGCAUUAGCUAGUUGGCAAGGUAACGGCUCACCAAGGCCACGAUGCAUAGCCGACCUGAGAGGGUGAUCGGCCACACUGGAACUGAGACACGGCCCAGACUCCUACGGGAGGCAGCUGUAGGGAAUCUUCUGCAAUGGACGAAAGUCUGACCGAGCAACGCCGCGUGAGUGAAGAAGGUCUUCGGAUCGUAAAACUCUGUUGUUAGGGAAGAACAAGUACGUUAGUAACUGUACGUCCCCUGACGGUAUCUAACCAGAAAGCCACGGCUAACUACGUG
RNAcentral lists this ribosomal RNA (508 nucleotides) under uncultured bacterium. RNAcentral describes it as "partial 16S ribosomal RNA". It matches the Rfam family "Bacterial small subunit ribosomal RNA", at positions 28 to 507 of the family's 1533-position model. The record is from RNAcentral.